This 449-nucleotide ribosomal RNA is filed under the name uncultured bacterium. RNAcentral describes it as "bacterial SSU rRNA". It matches the Rfam family "Bacterial small subunit ribosomal RNA", at positions 329 to 795 of the family's 1533-position model. The record is from RNAcentral.
UUCCAGACUCCUACGGGAGGCAGCAGUGGGGAAUAUUGCACAAUGGGGGAAACCCUGAUGCAGCGACGCCGCGUGAGUGAAGAAGUAUUUCGGUAUGUAAAGCUCUAUCAGCAGGGAAGAAAAUGACGGUACCUGAUUAAGAAGCCCCGGCUAACUACGUGCCAGCAGCCGCGGUAAUACGUAGGGGGCAAGCGUUAUCCGGAUUUACUGGGUGUAAAGGGAGCGUAGACGGCAGCGCAAGUCUGAAGUGAAAUGCCGGGGCUUAACCCCGGAACUGCUUUGGGAACUGUACGGCUGGAGUGCAGGAGAGGUAAGUGGAAUUCCUAGUGUAGCGGUGAAAUGCGUAGAUAUUAGGAGGAACACCAGUGGCGAAGGCGGCUUACUGGACUGUAACUGACGUUGAGGCUCGAAAGCGUGGGGAGCAAACAGGAUUAGAUACCCCAGUAGAC